Molecule: ribosomal RNA, 429 nt
Filed under: Acidobacteriota bacterium
Lineage: Bacteria; Pseudomonadati; Acidobacteriota
Description: Acidobacteria bacterium partial 16S ribosomal RNA
Rfam family: Bacterial small subunit ribosomal RNA
Source: RNAcentral
UGGGGAAUUUUGGACAAUGGGGGAAACCCUGAUCCAGCCAUCCCGCGUGUGCGAUGAAGGCCUUCGGGUUGUAAAGCACUUUUGGCAGGAAAGAAACGUCAUGGGUUAAUACCCCGUGAAACUGACGGUACCUGCAGAAUAAGCACCGGCUAACUACGUGCCAGCAGCCGCGGUAAUACGUAGGGUGCAAGCGUUAAUCGGAAUUACUGGGCGUAAAGCGUGCGCAGGCGGUUCGGAAAGAAAGAUGUGAAAUCCCAGAGCUCAACUUUGGAACUGCAUUUUUAUCUACCGGGCUAGAGUGUGUCAGAGGGAGGUGGAAUUCCGCGUGUAGCAGUGAAAUGCGUAGAUAUGAGGAGGAACACCGAUGGCGAAGGCAGCCUCCUGGGAUAACACUGACGCUCAUGCACGAAAGCGUGGGGAGCAAACAGG